Molecule: long non-coding RNA, 474 nt
Organism: Hyla sarda
Lineage: Eukaryota; Metazoa; Chordata; Amphibia; Anura; Hylidae
Exons: 3
Source: RefSeq, a predicted model, not a curated record
CCAUUGUCUCCAGUACAGCGCACAGUACUCCAAUUGAGGUCUCACAAGUGCUCUUUGGUUCGAAUAAGCUUUUCACAAGCAUGCUUUAUUUCAGCAAGCUUGCGUCAAACUGUCCAAGAGCCAACUGAACACUUCAUAAGACAGUGUGAAAACAGCCUUAUCCACACCUUUUGAUAUGAACAGUAUCAUGUAGAUAUAUAUAUACAAGCUUAGAAGAGAAAAGAAAAGGAGAAGAGAGUCAAUGCGGAAUAGAGAUUGAAUCAGCUGACAAGAACUUUUGACCAGGACCAUCUGUACAUGCAUUAUUUGUGGUCAUCUCAUACAUGGGCGUAGCUAAAGAAUACAGAUUAACACUGGCCACACACGUAUAAAACACUACCACUGAGUUACUGGCGGUCAAUCCUUCACUUUGUGAAUCUGACGGUGGUCGAGUCCGGGAGUAUUGAAACAGAAGUCUAAAAGAGGAUACUCUGC